Molecule: non-coding RNA, 70 nt
Organism: Rattus norvegicus (Norway rat)
Lineage: Eukaryota; Metazoa; Chordata; Mammalia; Rodentia; Muridae
Source: Rfam
GGGGAUUUAGCUCAGCGGUAGAGCGCUUGCCUAAGCAAGCACAAGGUCCUGGGUUCGGUCCCCAGCUCCG